Molecule: ribosomal RNA, 468 nt
Filed under: uncultured bacterium
Lineage: Bacteria
Description: partial 16S ribosomal RNA
Rfam family: Bacterial small subunit ribosomal RNA
Source: RNAcentral
GACGAACGCUGGCGGCGUGCUUAACACAUGCAAGUCGAACGGAAAGGCCCUGCUUUUGUGGGGUGCCCGAGUGGCGAACGGGUGAGUAACACGUGAGUAACCUGCCCUUGACUUUGGGAUAACUUCAGGAAACUGGGGCUAAUACCGGAUAGGAGCUCCUGCUGCAUGGUGGGGGGUGGAAAGUUUCGGCGGUUGGGGAUGGACUCGCGGCUUAUCAGCUUGUUGGUGGGGUAGUGGCUUACCAAGGCUUUGACGGGUAGCCGGCCUGAGAGGGUGACCGGCCACCUUGGGCCUGCGAGACGGCCCAGACUCCUACGGGAGGCAGCAGUGGGGAAUAUUGCACAAUGGGCGGAAGCCUGAUGCAGCAACGCCGCGGUCGGGAUGACGGCCUUCGGGUUGUGAACCGCUUUCGCCUGUGACGCAGCGUGAGUGACGGUAAUGGGUAAAGAAGCACCGGCUAACUACGUG